This 395-nucleotide long non-coding RNA is filed under the name Equus asinus (donkey). Its description in RNAcentral is "lncRNA (ENSEASG00005025280.1)". Lineage: Eukaryota; Metazoa; Chordata; Mammalia; Perissodactyla; Equidae. The record is from RNAcentral.
CUUGAGCGCUGCCGUGGAGUGGCCAGCUGCCUAGCUAAGGGUCAGAAGAGCAACCCAACACAGGGCCAAUCUGCAAAGCCAGGAAGGUGGGUUACAACAGGAGAAAAUCAGACGUCUUUGCAACGGAGGCUGAUGCAUUUUUAGAAGCCAGAAGAGAGAAGACUUACUAGAUGGUUUUCAGUUUUGGUCAUUGAUCCUGACAUAAUAGAAUGUGACCUACGUAGAGAAGACAAAACGCAGAAAUACAACACAACCAAAGAAUACAUGCUGGAAAAGGGAUCACUGAAGAAAAACGGAUAGGAAGUAUAUCUCAUAUUUUUGUGUGUGCAGGCAUACCUCGGAGAUGUUGUGGGUUUGGUACCUGACUGCUGCAAUAAAGCUAAUAUCACAAUAAA